UACAGAGGGGGCAAGCGUUGUUCGGAAUUACUGGGCGUAAAGGGCGCGUAGGCGGCCUGCUAAGUCGAACGUGAAAUCCCUGGGCUCAACCCAGGAACUGCGUCCGAGACUGGUUGGCUCGAAUCCGGGAGAGGGAUGUGGAAUUCCAGGUGUAGCGGUGAAAUGCGUAGAUAUCUGGAGGAACACCGGUGGCGAAGGCGGCAUCCUGGACCGGUAUUGACGCUGAUGCGCGAAAGCCAGGGGAGCAAACGGG
This 253-nucleotide ribosomal RNA is filed under the name uncultured bacterium. RNAcentral's name for it is "partial 16S ribosomal RNA". It matches the Rfam family "Bacterial small subunit ribosomal RNA", at positions 524 to 776 of the family's 1533-position model. The record is from RNAcentral.